AUGCGAUACGUAGUGUGAAUUGCAGAAUUCAGUGAAUCAUCGAAUCUUUGAACGCACAUUGCGCCCUUUGGUAUUCCAAAGGGCAUGCCUGUUCGAGCGUCAUUUGUACCCUCAAGCUUUGCUUGGUGUUGGGCGUCUUUUGUCUCCAGUUCGCUGGAGACUCGCCUUAAAGUCAUUGGCAGCCGGCCUACUGGUUUCGGAGCGCAGCACAAGUCGCGCUCUUCGCCAGCCAAGGUCAGCGUCCAGCAAGCCUUUUUUUCAACCUUUGACCUCGGAUCAGGUAGGGAUACCCGCUGAACUUAA
This 303-nucleotide unclassified non-coding RNA is filed under the name uncultured Alternaria. RNAcentral's name for it is "partial contains 5.8S ribosomal RNA, internal transcribed spacer 2, and large subunit ribosomal RNA". The stretch from base 1 to 102 matches the Rfam family "5.8S ribosomal RNA", at positions 53 to 154 of the family's 154-position model. Lineage: Eukaryota; Fungi; Ascomycota; Dothideomycetes; Pleosporales; Pleosporaceae. The record is from RNAcentral.